AAAAAAGGUAAGCUACUAAGAGCGAAUGGUGGAUGCCUUGACUGGUAAAGGCGAUGAAGGACGUACUAGACUGCGAUAAGCUACGGGGAGCUGUCAAGAAGCUUUGAUCCGUAGAUUUCCGAAUGGGGCAACCCAAUGUAUAGAGAUAUACAUUACCUAUAUAGGAGCGAACGAGGGGAAUUGAAACAUCUUAGUACCCUCAGGAAAAGAAAUCAAUAGAGAUUGCGUCAGUAGCGGCGAGCGAAAGCGUAAGAGGGCAAACCCAGUGCUUGCACUGGGGGUUGUAGGACUGCAAUGUGCAAGAGGUGAGUUUAGCAGAACAUUCUGGAAAGUAUAGCCAUAGAGGGUGAUAGUCCCGUAUGCGAAAAACAAACCUUAGCUAGCAGUAUCCUGAGUAGGGCGGGACACGAGAAAUCCUGUCUGAAGCUGGGUCGACCACGAUCCAACCCUAAAUACUAAUACCAGAUCGAUAGUGCACAAGUACCGUGAGGGAAAGGUGAAAAGAACUGAGGUGAUCAGAGUGAAAUAGAACCUGAAACCAUUUGCUUACAAUCAUUCAGAGCACUAUGUAGCAAUACAGUGUGAUGGACUGCCUUUUGCAUAAUGAGCCUGCGAGUUGUGGUGUCUGGCAAGGUUAAGCAAACGCGAAGCCGUAGCGAAAGCGAGUCUGAAUAGGGCGCUUAGUCAGAUGCUGCAGACCCGAAACGAAGUGAUCUAUCCAUGAGCAAGUUGAAGCUAGUGUAAGAACUAGUGGAGGACUGAACCCAUAGGCGUUGAAAAGCCCCGGGAUGACUUGUGGAUAGGGGUGAAAGGCCAAUCAAACUUCGUGAUAGCUGGUUCUCUCCGAAAUAUAUUUAGGUAUAGCGUUGUGUCGUAAUAUAAGGGGGUAGAGCACUGAAUGGGCUAGGGCAUACACCAAUGUACCAAACCCUAUCAAACUCCGAAUACCUUAUAUGUAAUCACAGCAGUCAGGCGGCGAGUGAUAAAAUCCGUCGUCAAGAGGGAAACAACCCAGACUACCAGCUAAGGUCCCUAAAUCUUACUUAAGUGGAAAACGAUGUGAAGUUACUUAAACAACCAGGAGGUUGGCUUAGAAGCAGCCAUCCUUUAAAGAAAGCGUAAUAGCUCACUGGUCUAGUGAUUUUGCGCGGAAAAUAUAACGGGGCUAAAGUAAGUACCGAAGCUGUAGACUUGAUUUUA
This 1200-nucleotide ribosomal RNA is filed under the name Campylobacter coli. RNAcentral describes it as "partial 23S ribosomal RNA". It matches the Rfam family "Bacterial large subunit ribosomal RNA", at positions 1 to 1216 of the family's 2925-position model. The record is from RNAcentral. Lineage: Bacteria; Pseudomonadati; Campylobacterota; Epsilonproteobacteria; Campylobacterales; Campylobacteraceae.